AGCAGCUGCAGCCGGCACCCUAAACCCUAGGCCAUUUCUUAUAUCCGUCUCUCCCCCGCUUUUCUCGCGAGGCACAGCAGCCACCGCCGCAGAGAACGGCGAUACGCCAUGACGAGCGAGCGAGUUGUGGUACCUUAGACAGUUGAUCUCUGCUGUAUUCAUGAAGCCUCGCUUGUACUCGUGAAGUUCUGCUUCCCAAGUGUCUCCUCUCUCUUUUCGUCUAUGUUCUCGAGUUGUUCGAAAGAUUUCUGUUUAUAGAGCAGCAGCCGGAAACAGAGGUUUACAAUGUGGGCUUGUGUUUACAAAGAACCUCCUGCGUAUUUUGGCUGCUGUCAAUAAUCUUGGCACUACUACGGUGCUACCUUGCUGCCUUAAGCUAUAACACCGAGUAGCUGCUGUCCAUGAAAAUAAUCUGGUUGUUGCUCAACUGUCCACCGUUUAUGCUACCAGCAUACGAAAAGAGCAAGUUUCCUAUGCAUCUGGGAUUUGGAAGUAGUAUGAGCUAGCAUUGAAAUUCGUUGAUCAACCAAACUGAUUUCGACUUGGUGAAAGUUAUGAAGAAAUAGAAAGCUAUCAGCCAAAAUUGUUCAUUCCCCUGAAAAGCUCCAGGCUAACAUGUACAUGGAUGGCAUCGAUCAUUCCUUCAGGUUGUUUGCUGAUGAACAAUCUUUCUCCAGGCUAACAUGUACAUGGAUGGCAUCGAUCAUUCCUUCAAAGAGACUGAUGAAGCUGCAGUGAUUUUGAACACUAUAGGCCAGAUUGGCUUUUGAAUGCUUGAUGUGUGGAGUGACCAUCGGGCAAUGAUAUAUAUAUUAUACACAAAGCGGGACAUUAGCACGAACUCCACGAUCCAUUCUUUUUUUUUUUGACAACAUGCAAGAUAUAUUUAUUAACUGCAGCAAGAAGCUGCUAUAAUAGAGACAGAGUUGAGGUCUACAUUAAGUAGAGCCUGAAACAAAGAACAAAUAGGUCCACAAUGGGACCCAGUACAAUUACAAUCUUGGGUUGUGAGCGGGAAGUUUUGGGCCUGUUUAGCCAAAGUGUCUGCUGUUGUGUUUUGUCUUCUGCUGAUCUUGAAGAGUUGGGCCUAAAGGAUGGCUGCGAUGUUGGAGUAUUACGCAGGUCAUCCUUCAAGCCCUACUCUUCAAGAUCAGUAAAAGACAAAACACAACAGCAGACACUUGGCUAAACAGGCCCAAAACUUCCCGCUCACAACCAAAGAUUGUAAUUGUACUGGGUCCCAUUGUGGACCUAUUUGUUCUUUGUUUCAGGCUCUACUUAAUGUAGACCUCAACUCUGUUUCUAUUAUAACAGCUUCUUGUUGCGGUUAAUAAAUAUAUUUUGCAUGUUGUCAAAAAAGAAUGGAUCGUGGACAAUAGCAUAGUUCGUGCUAAUGUCCCGCUUUGUGUAUAAUAUAUAUACCUCCACUGGAUCGUGUGUGGUCACUUUUGCAUCUCGUUUCAAGUUGUUGCUCUGAUCGUGUGGUCAGUCAAACCCCUUUGCUUCUGUACAUGCUUUGUGCACCACUAUUUUAAUUUAAUCAGUACUAAAUUGGCUGUGAAAAUGGAUAUGUUAACCGGUGAUGAGAUCUGGAUUUGCGUGGUUGCAUUCCAAGUCGUGGAGGACAAAUCUAAAGCACCACAAGUACUCUCGAGUCUCGACAAUGGGUAAUUGGGUAGGCUCAACUUUAGUCAGUCGAGACAAGAGUGCCUAGUUUGCAUCUACUGUACUGGUCUAAGGCCUUGUUUAGUUCCCAAAAAGUAUGUAAAUUUUUUUAAGAUUUUCUGUCACAUCGAA
Long non-coding RNA from Sorghum bicolor (sorghum), 1797 nucleotides. RefSeq lists it as uncharacterized. The record is from RefSeq and is a predicted model, not a curated record. NCBI's taxonomy places the organism in Eukaryota, Viridiplantae, Streptophyta, Magnoliopsida, Poales, Poaceae. The transcript is spliced from 3 exons.